This is a long non-coding RNA of Anopheles funestus (African malaria mosquito), 1906 nucleotides long. RefSeq lists it as uncharacterized. The transcript is spliced from 4 exons. NCBI's taxonomy places the organism in Eukaryota, Metazoa, Arthropoda, Insecta, Diptera, Culicidae. The record is from RefSeq and is a predicted model, not a curated record.
CUAUCGACAAAGUGUUCAUCGAUGGAUGAAUUUUUUGAAAAGGGGGUGAAAAUUUUGCUCGAAUCACCCCAAAAUGAGAGUGUGUGCGUGGCUCGCUGUAUCGCGAUAGAGUUCGACGUGUGUCGAAUGAAUGUUCAAAAUGGUCAUAGUAGGCUAAAAACCUGUCUUUCUGUUUUUGCUCGGUCGCUGUACAUUUUCAUACGGGAAUAGUUCGUGAAUUGUGGAUUGCGUCAGUUCGUGGACUGUGUAUUCGUUUGUGGAAUAGUGUUUGCCAAGUUGUUCCAGUUCUAGUUCUAAAAGGAUGUUCCUGUGCCGGCACUGGUAAGUUGUACCGCCAGCGUGAUGACCUGAUGGCGCAGACUUCGGCUGAAUACGACGAUGAAGAGGCAGGACAAGCUGUUUCAAGACAUUUGAAAAGCGACGCGUGGGGACAUAUGGCCACAGUUGCCGGUCCUCAUAUCUAGAGGUUUUUGUGUACAAAAAUUCAGGAAGCAAGAAGGAGCUCGAAGCUAGAUUCAAGUACCGUAGUGUGAAAUACUUCGUCAACAGUUUUCUUACAACUGCGCCCACGCGUCCCUUUGGCCUACUGCUUCAAAGGUAGGCUACCCUGUACAAUCAAUGCCAUGGCGUCUAACGGAAUCGGUUGAACGUGAAACUUCUUCUUCUUAUUUCAGUUGACAUUCAUACUUCUUGAUGGUUGCUCUCGGAUAGAGCGUACGAAUCGUUAGAAACAUCUUUUCCGCGUCAUUUGAAAGGAACAAAUUAUUGGACAUGCUCGUGAUUAUCCAGUUCUAUGAUGCACCUGCCAAUGGAAGUGAAAGACAAGCCAACCUUAGUAUUGGUUGUUUUUGCUGCUGAUCGGUUCUAAAUCGGAUAGUGGAAACCGCUUUUGUUAGCACUCUACAUAGGCGCUGGAUUGGAUUUUUCUUCGCUCUGCUCACAAUGUUCUAUCGCCUUCUCUGAGACAAUGUUCUAUCGCCACCUAGCACCUCUACAAACCGUGACCGAUAAAGCUUGUCGUUGAUCCUCCGUGCAGGAUAACAUACUCCGCCAAAGUUGAAGGUCGGUAGAAUCAUAAACUAACUCAAGAAUCACCGUUCGAUACGAGUUUCCUGCUGAUUUGAACUUUGUAUUUGUUGAUACAAAAUGGAGUGAAAUAUGCGAAAAAUCGUGUGUUAAUGCGAUCAAAAUUAAAUCGAGAUCGCAUACGAUGCCAAACUCAAAGACACGAUGUUAGUUUGUUUCGAAACACGCUAAAAAUUCCAUUGAAAGUUUUCGCCUGGACCUUUGAUUGAUACAGGAUAUGAAUCUCUUCGAAACUUUAUCUUGGAAGGGAGCAAAUGUCCUUGUUUAUUUUAUGUUUACGUUGCACCGAUCGAAACUGGCCGCGUGAUAAUGAAAAACGAUAACAAAUCGUGGGCGGUAUCAUGUGGAACAGGAUUAGAAAUCCCUGGCUAAGCUGGCGCAGAGUACGAGCGUUGAAAAUUGUCCGCUGCCUGGAUGGAAUGGUAUGGUAUGAACUAUGCAGAUAAUAAGAAUAGAAAAAAAAGUAUGAAGCGUAAGAUGAAAAAUAUUGUUACGGGUCUAAAUCAGUACAUGUGAAUUGUUAUCUUUUUACGCUUGCCAUAAAACCAGGAAAAAUAAAAAAAUAAUAUUAUAUUUGUUAAAAACAAAAAAUGUUUUCAUUGCACCGGUGCAUCAACGGUGCGGAAAGAACGAUUGAGAAUGAACAUUACAGAGUAAAAAUGAACCUUACGAAAACGCGCUCAUGAAAUCAUGAAUCUCACGCACACACUCUCAAAAAACGGCUUCACAAGAUCUGCUGUGAAGCUUUUGUGAAGCCGCUUGUGAAGCCGUGAAUUUUACUCGAAAUUCACUCUCAGGCGAGCAGUUUGUCGAUAGGGAU